This 306-nucleotide ribosomal RNA is filed under the name uncultured bacterium. Its description in RNAcentral is "partial 16S ribosomal RNA". It matches the Rfam family "Bacterial small subunit ribosomal RNA", at positions 507 to 808 of the family's 1533-position model. The record is from RNAcentral.
GACAGCAGCGCCACGGUAAUACGAAGGGUGCAAGCGUUACUCGGAAUUACUGGGCGUAAAGCGUGCGUAGGUGGUGGUUUAAGUCCGUUGUGAAAGCCCUGGGCUCAACCUGGGAAUUGCAGUGGAUACUGGGUCACUAGAGUGUGGUAGAGGAUAGUGGAAUUUCCGGUGUAGCAGUGAAAUGCGUAGAGAUCGGAAGGAACAUCUGUGGCGAAGGCGACUAUCUGGGCCAACACUGACACUGAGGCACGAAAGCGUGGGGAGCAAACAGGAUUAGAUACCCCAGUAGUCCCUGUCUCUUAUACC